AAUAAUAAUAAUAAUAACUAGAAAAGGUAAAGUUCGUGAACGAACUUUAAGUUGGCUUGGAAAAGAACGCUAAUAACGUUAAAAAGUUAAAAUGGUUGCUAAGCUUUUUCCGUCUGAAGAGUGUGAAGAGUCAUUGAUUUGCUGUUAACGCUAAAUGCUAAAAACGCUGAAAUCUAAAAACAUUUGGUUAAAUGCUGAAAUCUAAAAAUGUUUGAUUAAACGCUGAAAUCUAAAAACGUUUGGUUAAACGCUGAAAUCUAAAAACAUUUGGUUAAACACUGAAAUCUAAAAAUGUUUGAUUAAACGCUGAAAUCUAAAAACGUUUGGUUAAACGCUGAAAUCUAAAAACAUUUGGUUAAACGCUGAAAUCUAAAAACGCUUGUUUAAAUGCUGAAAUCGUAAAACUUUUGGUUAAACUUUUGAUUGCUAAUGUGUUGCUAGGCGGUUGCUAUUAUUUCUGAAAAGGUUGCUAAGCUGUUGCUAGGCAAUUGCUAAUGUUUUCCAGGUGGUUGCUAAGCUGUUGCUAACUGGUUGCUAGGCAAUUGCUAACAUAUAACAGGUGGUUGCUAGGCAGUUGCUAAGUGGUUGCUAGGCAGUUGCUAACGUUUUCCAAGUGGUUGCUAGGCAGUUGCUUAGUGGUUGCUAGGCAGUUGCUAACAUUUUCCAGGUGGUUGCUAAGUGGUUGCUAGGCAGUUGCUAACAUAUUCCAGGUGGUUGCUAGGCAGUUGCUAAGUGGUUGCUAGGCAGUUGCUAACGUUUUCCAGGUGGUUGCUAAGUGGUUGCUAGGCAGUUGCUAACGUAUUCCAGGUGGUUGCUAGGCAGUUGCUAAGUGGUUGCUAGGCAGUUGCUAACGUUUUCCAGGUGGUUGCUAAGUGGUUGGUAGGCAGUUGCUAACGUUUUCCAGGUGGUUGCUAAGUGGUUGCUAGGCAGUUGCUAACGUUUUCCAGAUGGUUGCUAGGCAGUUGCUAAGUGGUUGCUAGGCAGUUGCUAAUGUUUUCCAAGUGGUUGCUAGGCAGUUGCUAAGUGGUUGCUAGGCAGUUGCUAACAUUUUCCAGGUGGUUGCUAAGUGGUUGCUAGGUAGUUGCUAACAUAUUCCAGGUGGUUGCUAGGCAGCUGCUAAGUGGUUGCUAGGCAGUUGCUAACGUUUUCCAGGUGGUUGCUAAGUGGUUGCUAGGCAGUUGCUAAUGUUUUCCAGGUGGUUGCUAGGCAGUUGCUAAGUGGUUGCUAGGCAGUUGCUAACGUUUUCCAGGUGGUUGCUAAGUGGUUGCUAGGCAGUUGCUAACGUUUUCCAGGUGGUUGCUAGGCAGUUGCUAAGUGGUUGCUAGGCAGUUGCUAACAUUUUCCAGGUGGUUGCUAAGUGGUUGCUAGGUAGUUGCUAACAUAUUCCAGGUGGUUGCUAGGCAGCUGCUAAGUGGUCGCUAGGCAGUUGCUAACGUUUUCCAGGUGGUUGCUAAGUGGUUGCUAGGCAGUUGCUAACGUUUUCCAGGUGGUUGCUAGGCAGUUGCUAAGUGGUUGCUAGGCCAUUGCUAACGUUUUCCAGGUGGUUGCUAAGUGGUUGCUAGGCAGUUGCUAACGUUUUCCAGGUGGUUGCUAGGCAGUUGCUAAGUUGUUGCUAGGCAGUUGGUAACGUAUUCCAGGUGGUUGCUCAGUGGUUGCUAGGCAGUUGCUAAUGUUUUCCAGGUGGUUGCUAAGUGGUUGCUAGGCAGUUGCUAAGUGGUUGCUAGGCAGUUGCUAACGUUUUCCAAGUGGUUGCUAGGCAGUUGCUAAGUGGUUGCUAGGCAGUUGCUAACGUUUUCCAGGUGUUUGCUAAGUGGUUGCUAACUGGUUGCUAGGCAGUUGCUAUAAUUUCUAAAGUGGUUGCUAAGUUGUUGCUAAGUGGUUGCUAGGCAGUUGCUAACGUUUUCCAGGUGGUUGCUAAGGUGUUGCUAAGUGGUUGCUAAGCAGUUAAUAGGUGGUUGCUAAAACCUGGCUGGGGUGCCGGG
Astyanax mexicanus (Mexican tetra) is the source of this 1982-nucleotide long non-coding RNA. RefSeq lists it as uncharacterized. NCBI's taxonomy places the organism in Eukaryota, Metazoa, Chordata, Actinopteri, Characiformes, Acestrorhamphidae. The record is from RefSeq and is a predicted model, not a curated record. The transcript is spliced from 3 exons.